Molecule: ribosomal RNA, 259 nt
Filed under: uncultured bacterium
Lineage: Bacteria
Description: partial 16S ribosomal RNA
Rfam family: Bacterial small subunit ribosomal RNA
Source: RNAcentral
CGGAGGUGCGAGCGUUGUCCGGAUUUAUUGGGUUUAAAGGGUAGCGUAGGUGGCUAUUUAAGUUACAGUGGUGGAAAUAACAGCCGCUCAACGGUUGAGGUGCCAUUGAUACUGAUUAGCUUGAAAUAAAUUGGAGGCUGCCGGAAUGGAUGGUGUAGCGGUGAAAUGCAUAGAUAUCAUCCAGAACACCGAUUGCGAAGGCAGGUGGCUACGAUUUAUUUGACACUGAGGCACGAAAGCAUGGGGAGCAAACAGGAUU